GACGAACGCUGGCGGCGUGCUUAACACAUGCCAGUCGAACGGUGAAGCUCCAGCUUGCUGGAGUGGAUCAGUGGCGAACGGGUGAGUAACACGUGAGCAACCUGCCCCUGACUCUGGAAUAAGCGCUGGAAACGGCGUCUAAUACUGGAUACGAGAAGGGUCCGCAUGGGCACUUUCUGGAAAGUUUUUCGGUUGGGGAUGGGCUCGCGGCCUAUCAGCUUGUUGGUGAGGUAAUGGCUCACCAAGGCGACGACGGGUAGCCGGCCUGAGAGGGCGACCGGCCACACGGGGACUGGGACACGGCCCAGACUCCUACGGGAGGCAGCAGUGGGGAAUAUUGCACAAUGGGCGAAAGCCUGAUGCAGCGACGCCGCGUGAGGGAUGACGGCCUUCGGGUUGUAAACCUCUUUCAGCAGGGAAGAAGCGAAAGUGACGGUACCUGCAGAAGAAGCACCGGCGAACUACGU
RNAcentral lists this ribosomal RNA (467 nucleotides) under uncultured bacterium. RNAcentral describes it as "partial 16S ribosomal RNA". It matches the Rfam family "Bacterial small subunit ribosomal RNA", at positions 28 to 506 of the family's 1533-position model. The record is from RNAcentral.